Molecule: ribosomal RNA, 247 nt
Filed under: uncultured Actinomycetes bacterium
Lineage: Bacteria; Bacillati; Actinomycetota; Actinomycetes
Description: uncultured actinobacterium partial 16S ribosomal RNA
Rfam family: Bacterial small subunit ribosomal RNA
Source: RNAcentral
GACGAACGCUGGCGGCGUGCUUAACACAUGCAAGUCGAGCGGUAAGGCCCUUUCGGGGGUACACGAGCGGCGAACGGGUGAGUAACACGUGGGUGACCUGCCCUUAGCUCUGGGAUAAGCCUGGGAAACUGGGUCUAAUACCGGAUAUGACCUCAUGACGCAUGUUGUGGGGUGGAAAGCCUUGUGCGGCUAGGGAUGGGCCCGCGGCCUAUCAGCUUGUUGGUGGGGUGAUGGCCUACCAAGGCGA